AACGCGAAGAACCUUACCAGGUCUUGACAUCCUCUGACAACCCUAGAGAUAGGGCUUCCCCUUCAGGGGCAGAGUGACAGGUGGUGCAUGGUUGUCGUCAGCUCGUGUCGUGAGCUGUUGGGUUAAGUCCCGCAACGAGCGCAACCCUUGAUCUUAGUUGCCAGCAUUCAGUUGGGCACUCUAAGGUGACUGCCGGUGACAAACCGGAGGAAGGUGGGGAUGACGUCAAAUCAUCAUGCCCCUUAUGACCUGGGCUACACACGUGCUACAAUGGGCAGAACAAAGGGCAGCGAAGCCGCGAGGCUAAGCCAAUCCCACAAAUCUGUUCUCAGUUCGGAUCGCAGUCUGCAACUCGACUGCGUGAAGCUGGAAUCGCUAGUAAUCGCGGAUCAGCAUGCCGCGGUGAAUACGUUCCCGGGCCUUUACACACCG
This 432-nucleotide ribosomal RNA is filed under the name uncultured Bacillus sp. RNAcentral describes it as "bacterial SSU rRNA". It matches the Rfam family "Bacterial small subunit ribosomal RNA", at positions 958 to 1392 of the family's 1533-position model. The record is from RNAcentral. Lineage: Bacteria; Bacillati; Bacillota; Bacilli; Caryophanales; Bacillaceae.